This 253-nucleotide ribosomal RNA is filed under the name uncultured bacterium. RNAcentral's name for it is "partial 16S ribosomal RNA". It matches the Rfam family "Bacterial small subunit ribosomal RNA", at positions 524 to 776 of the family's 1533-position model. The record is from RNAcentral.
UACGAAGGGGGCGAGCGUUGUUCGGCUUUACUGGGCUUAAAGGGCGCGCAGGCGGCGAGAUUUGUCAGGCGUGAAAGCCCCGGGCUUAACCUGGGACUGGCGUUUGGGACUGGGUCGCUAGAGUGAGGCAGAGGGAGGUGGAAUUCCACGUGUAGCAGUGAAAUGCGUAGAGAUGUGGAGGAACACCGAUGGCGAAGGCAGCCUCCUGGGCCAGCACUGACGCUCAUGCACGAAAGCGUGGGGAGCAAACAGG